GCCCAGCUGUGCACAGCCGCUCGGGGCUGCACCGGGACCCCCCCCCGCCGCCAGGCCGGCCCUGCUCCGGCUUCCUGGGGGAGAGGAAGCCCGGCGGGGUGGGCUGCCGGCUUCCUGCCUUUGUCUGCCUGCCGCGGGGGGCCGCAGGGGAAGGCCCCUUCCUUCCCCUCGGCCCCACGGUGGGAGCCGAGCCGGCAGCGCCGCGAUGCUCCGGUUCUGCCCGCUGCCACCGCCGCCACCGCCGCCACCGCCGCCAUGGCCCUGCUCCUGCCUCUGCUGGCCUUCCUGCAGACCCUGCCGGCGCCCGGGCACCCCGCAGAGCUGCUGCCGGCCCCCACCCUGGUGAUGCUGCCGGGACGCUUGGACCUCCGCGGCCCCGGCGGGGACGAGGCCGUCACCCUGCGCUGCCUGGCGCCCAUCACCGCGCGGGUGGCCUUGUACCUCUUCUACCGGCGGGCAGAGCCCCGGAGCCCCCGCACGAACUUCAGGAACUCCUCGGUGCCCGACAUCAAGGACACGGCGCUGCCCGGCCUCUACUCCUGCGCCUACAUGGAGCCCGGCCACCGCGGGGGGGGACCGUCCCUCGAGAGCCCCCUGACCCCCUUCUUGCCGCCGUGGGGCCACCUGCCCACCAUGCACCCGGGGGUCCCGACCGCGCCGGCGCCGUGGGACAACGGCACCGCCGGCCACCGCCGUCUCGUCCCCGGCCGCUCGGCCUCCUGCCGCCGGCACCCGAGCCCGGCCUUCGCCGCCGCCGCCCUCGCCUUCCUGCUGCCCCGCGGCUGCCGCUAGCGGCGAGAUUCCCGCGCUCGGCGCCCGCCGUCGCUGCCCGGCCCCGCGAAACGCCGACCGGCAGCGGCGUUCGGAGGUGCUCAGGAAACGCCCGGCUCCGAGCGGACCCUCAGCUUUCUCCCCCCGUGUUACUGCAAUAACCCGUUGCACAGAUGUAUUAUCUAUACAAUAACCCUCACAUAGGUAGAUCUGAUACACGAUAACCGUCGCAUAGGUGUGCGGUGUCUACACUAACCCCUCGCAAAGCAUCAGCCUGAAAAAGCGGUGCCGGAGCCCGCAAGGACGGGGAGGGAGGGCCGGGGCAAGGGGGCCACUUGCAAUAAACUUGCUCUGCACAAGGAUUCGGCGAGUCCU
Molecule: long non-coding RNA, 1146 nt
Filed under: Dromaius novaehollandiae (emu)
Lineage: Eukaryota; Metazoa; Chordata; Aves; Casuariiformes; Dromaiidae
Description: lncRNA (ENSDNVG00000008660.1)
Source: RNAcentral